Molecule: ribosomal RNA, 1403 nt
Filed under: uncultured bacterium
Lineage: Bacteria
Description: 16S ribosomal RNA
Rfam family: Bacterial small subunit ribosomal RNA
Source: RNAcentral
UUCGCCCUUAGAGUUUGAUCCUGGCUCAGGACGAACGCUGGCGGCGUGCUUAACACAUGCAAGUCGAACGAUGAAGUUAUGACGGAGGCUUCGGCCGACUGAAUGAUGGAUUAGUGGCGGACGGGUGAGUAACGCGUGAGUAACCUGCCUUUCAGAGAGGAAUAACAUUUGGAAACGAAUGGUAAUACCACAUAACAUUACGUUCUCGCAUGGGGAUGUAAUCAAAGAUUUUAUCGCUGAGAGAUGGACUCGCGUCCGAUUAGCUAGAUGGUGAGGUAACGGCCCACCAUGGCGACGAUCGGUAGCCGGACUGAGAGGUUGAACGGCCACAUUGGGACUGAGACACGGCCCAGACUCCUACGGGAGGCAGCAGCGGGGAAUAUUGCACAAUGGGGGAAACCCUGAUGCAGCAACGCCGCGUAAAGGAAGACGGUCUUCGGAUUGUAAACUUUUGUUCUUGGUGAAGAAGCAAGUGACGGUAGCCAAGGAGGAAGCCCCGGCUAACUACGUGCCAGCAGCCGCGGUAAUACGUAGGGGGCGAGCGUUGUCCGGAAUGACUGGGCGUAAAGGGCGCGUAGGCGGCUCGGUAAGUUAGAAGUGAAAGUCCUGUUUUCAAGGUGGGAAUUGCUUUUAAUACUGUCGGGCUUGAGUGCAGAAGAGGUAAGCGGAAUUCCAAGUGUAGCGGUGAAAUGCGUAGAGAUUUGGAAGAACACCAGUGGCGAAGGCGGCUUACUGGGCUGUAACUGACGCUGAGGCGCGAAAGCGUGGGGAGCGAACGGGAUUAGAUACCCUGGUAGUCCACGCGGUAAACGAUGAAUGCUAGGUGUAGGGGGUAUCGACCCCUCCUGUGCCGGAGUAAACGCAAUAAGCAUUCCGCCUGGGGAGUACGGCCGCAAGGUUGAAACUCAAAGGAAUUGACGGGGGCCCGCACAAGCAGCGGAGCAUGUGGUUUAAUUCGACGCAACGCGAAGAACCUUACCAGGUCUUGACAUCGAUGUAAAGCCCAAGAGAUUGGGUGUCUCUUCGGAGGACAGAAGACAGGUGGUGCAUGGUUGUCGUCAGCUCGUGUCGUGAGAUGUUGGGUUAAGUCCCGCAACGAGCGCAACCCUUAUUAUCAGUUACUAACGGGUGAAGCCGAGGACUCUGAUAAGACCGCCGGGGACAACUCGGAGGAAGGUGGGGACGACGUCAAAUCAUCAUGCCCCUUAUGACCUGGGCUACACACGUGCUACAAUGGUGAAAACAAAGAGAAGCGAAGUCGUAAGGCGGAGCGGAUCUCAAAAAAAUCAUCUCAGUUCGGACUGUGGGCUGCAACCCGCCCACACGAAGUUGGAGUUGCUAGUAAUCGCGGAUCAGAACGCCGCGGUGAAUACGUUCCCGGGCCUUGCACUCACCGCCCGUCA